GUGUAACGCUCAACCUGAAAGGUGUUGGUGGCGGUACCCAACUUUCGCAGUCUGUGACUGUGCCGAGGCGUGGACAAGAGUCU
This 83-nucleotide non-coding RNA is filed under the name Palpitomonas bilix. The record is from RNAcentral.